UAGAAAAGGAGCGUUGCAGAGGAUGGCAGGACCAUAGGCAGUUCUGGCACUAUGGGACAAAAUCACGUCACCUCCAAGGUCAUUAGCAAUCAUUAAUUUUUAAAGCUACGGAUGAUGUCCUCCGAAGCAGAGACCACAUGAAAUAAACAGAUUAUUCCUAUGGUGCUGGGAU
This is a long non-coding RNA of Poecile atricapillus (Black-capped chickadee), 172 nucleotides long. RefSeq lists it as uncharacterized. The record is from RefSeq and is a predicted model, not a curated record. The transcript has 3 exons. Lineage: Eukaryota; Metazoa; Chordata; Aves; Passeriformes; Paridae.